AAGAAAAAGAGAAGAAAGAGAAAUAGAGAAAGAGGAGAAAAGAAAGGAAAAGAAAAAGAAAGAUCGGGAGAAACCGUGAGGUAGAGAGAGAGAGAAGGAGAUCGGCACCCCCAUGAGGGGAAGUGGUCGGCAACCAUGGAAAAGGAAGGAGAGAGAGAAAAUCAACAUGGAAGGAAGAAGAAGAAGAAGAAGAGAAGCUAAGGUAUAAAUUUAUUUUUUUUCCUAAGUUUUUCUCUAUUUUAGUUUAUGGAUUUUAUGAAAGGGGUUUUUGAUUUGGAUGUUCAAACCCCUAUAAUCUAUGUGAUUUAUAUGGAUUCAAGUAUGGAUUUACCCAAUUUGGGUGUUGAUUUGUUGGAAACUAAAAGGAAAAGAAAAUAAAUUUUUCUAGUUUUGAAAAUCGAAAUUUCUAUGUACUUUGAAUGUUUACCGUUUUUGAUCUAUGCAUUAUUUUUAUGAUCCGUCAAAAAGUAGUGCUAGAUAUAUGUGUUGGCUAGUAAACCCAAGUGGUAGAACUCAAAAAUCACGUUUCUAAAAGUCGUGGUGUUGAUUUAUGUGAAAACAGUCCCGGUUUUAUGGACAGUUUCGGAUCAGUCAAUGGCAGGGGAAAUUUCGUCCAGUUUUUGUGCUUUAAAACUUCUGGGCUUUUGGUAUGUUAUAUUACACUGAUUAAGCUUUCCAUAGACUCCAGAACGGACUAAUUCCGGCUCCGGAUGAGGUAGUUAUGACGUUCGGAAGGAGCGUAAUCAAACUGUCCAACCAAUCCCGAACAGCCUAUUGUCUAAAUUUUUGGACUGAUGUAUUCGGAUUUUGGAAAAUCAUCGUGAGAUAAAAGUUGUAGCCCUGGAAGUUAUCUUCGCGUGGGCUCAAGAAUCGCUCAAACAUGUUUUAAAACGCGAGAGUUAUGACUGUUUUAGUGAGGCUGGGUAAGAUCCAAAAAUAUCGAAAAUCAAAUUGUCCAAAAAUAGGAAAAAUGCGAUUUAUGACGUGAGACCCUUGAGCAUGGCUUAUGCAAGUUUGUAAUGAAGUUUUGGGUCGGGUUUAAAGUGUUAUGAUGUUUAUGACAUUUUAGAAUGUUUAAACAAGUUUAUUAAUUACGGAAAGGAAAAAUAAUUGAAAUAAUUGUUUAUUUAUGUGAUUAAUGACUUAAGUUAUUUUUAUAUGACUAAUAGUAUUGUAUUGAGAUAUUAUUAGUAGUAUUUGACUGAAAUGCUAUUAAAAGGUUAAUAACCUUAGCGUAAAAUAUUAUUAUAUAAUUAAUAAUAUUCGACGAGAGAUUAAAAUGAGAUAUUUUUGUUAUUUUUCAAUGUAAUUGUUGAAAUUGAUAUUCAAUGAAGUAUAUUAUGUGUUUGGGCAAAUGAUAGAAAAAUAAUAAGUGAUUUAGUAUUUUCAUGAAAGAGUUAUGGAAUCCGGCUUGUCGGAUUGGAAAUUUGAUGAAUUCAGCUUGCUGGAUUGAAAAGAAGCUUACUGAAUUGAAGGAUUUAGAAUCCAGCUUGCUGGAUUGAAGGAAUUAAGGAUCCAGGCUUGCUGGAUUGGUUAUAUGUGAAAUAUAGGUUACUGGAUUUGGAAUCCAGUCUGCUGGAUUAGAAAUAUGGUUGCUAGAUUUAGAAUCCAGGGUGCUGGAUUGGUAUUUGACCUUUUACAUGUUAAAGAAUAACUUAUGAAAUGAAAGAACGAGUGAUAAAUCAUAAUGUAUAUGAUACAGUGAUUGAAUAAUUAUCAAAGGAUGAUAAUAAUACUAAUGGGUUAAGAUGUUAUCUAAUAUUUGAUUAAGUGUUAGAUAAUUUAUGGCUUAAGUAAUUGUAUUAUGAUACAAGUAUGUUAUACUGAUUAAAAGAUCAAUCUUAUACUGAUAGGUCUUUCCCGAGAGAUUAAAUUAAAUUGUGUAGCGGUAAUCGACUAUGCAGGCAAGUUUCCUUAACUCAAACUAGAGUUGUAUGUUCAAAGCAUGUCAGUGAAUAGUUAUUGAUGAUUAUUCACGUCUAUACUAAUUAUUGAUUCGCACUUAGUGCAUGUUGCAUAUGUUCAUCAGGUAUGAAUGGCUGAUCACCUUCAUUACCAUAAGGUUCAGUUAAAUUGUUCAUGGUCUUUGUUGACCUUCCAAUAUUUAUUGAUUCAGUCAUGAAGUUAUUGAAACUUGAUUCAUGUUAUUUCAUAAUUAUUAUAUUGUUGAAAACUUGAAAGCUUAUUCAUUCUUUUCAAUCAUGAUAUAUCUUCAAUUGUAUGUAAAACUUGCUGGGCAAAUUUGUUGCUCACCCUUGCUAUAUCAUGAUAAAAUUUUCAGAUUAAGAUGAAAGCUUGAAUAAGGAUAGAGGCAAAGUCAGAGUGCAAGGUU
Molecule: long non-coding RNA, 2332 nt
Filed under: Panax ginseng (ginseng)
Lineage: Eukaryota; Viridiplantae; Streptophyta; Magnoliopsida; Apiales; Araliaceae
Description: long non-coding RNA (PGIN_LNC004161)
Source: RNAcentral